This 195-nucleotide non-coding RNA is filed under the name bovine gut metagenome. The record is from RNAcentral.
UUGGUGCCUGAGGGUAUUUCCUCGGGUGAAAAGGGAACCGGGUGGGAAUCCCGGACAGACGGCGCUGCUGUGUGCUCCCGUUACUGAUACCCCGCAUCAGGCCACUGCGCGAUUUGCCCGACAGCAAGGGAUCGCGUGGGAAGGGCUGGUUGCAAACAUUUGGGGUAGGGGCGAGUCAGAAGACCUGCCAAGUCG